AGCGAACGCUGGCGGCAGGCUUAACACAUGCAAGUCGAGCGGGCCCUUCGGGGUCAGCGGCGGACGGGUGAGUAACGCGUUGGAACGUGCCUUCUGGUCUGGAAUAACCCUGGGAAACUAGGGCUAAUACCGGAUACGCCCUUUUGGGGAAAGGUUUACUGCCGGAAGAUCGGCCCGCGUCUGAUUAGCUAGUUGGUGGGGUAACGGCCUACCAAGGCGACGAUCAGUAGCUGGUCUGAGAGGAUGAUCAGACACACUGGGACUGAGACACGGCCCAGACUCCUACGGGAGGCAGCAGUGGGGAAUAUUGGACAAUGGGCGCAAGCCUGAUCCAGCCAUGCCGCGUGAGUGAUGAAGGCCUUAGGGUUGUAAAGCUCUUUUAUCCGGGACGAUAAUGACGGUACCGGAGGAAUAAGCCCCGGCUAACUUCGUG
Molecule: ribosomal RNA, 433 nt
Filed under: uncultured bacterium
Lineage: Bacteria
Description: partial 16S ribosomal RNA
Rfam family: Bacterial small subunit ribosomal RNA
Source: RNAcentral